CAGCUGUACACAUCCUUCUACACUGUAUGCAAACAUGCAACAUCAUAACACACAGUACAAGGAGUCAGACUGGCAUAUGAGGAGCAAAGGAACCCAGGCAGUAGCAUCGUUUCACAAUGUUUCCAUCACCAUCAUCAGUGGAUGCCUUUGCCGUCCGUAGCCUGAGAUUUCAGAUUUGCAGCAAAUUUUUUUUGAUUUUCUCAUUUAUUGGAAUGCUGUGCAGGUAUUUGUACCUUGCAGCCAUCCAUUACAAUGUCACCAAGCCGUAACAAAAGCAGGAGGGAAAGUACAAGGCUAUGUUCCCAAAACACACAAGUGACAUACCUUAUGUGGAGGAUGUGAUCAGGCUUGUGUUUGAUGAGGUAUUUGAAGAUAAGCUGAAGGAAACCCCGAUUCCAAUGGACCUGGCAUCACAGUUUGAGAGACCUUCAAAGGAGGACGUGAUUGCAUGCCAUCUUCAGUGCA
Molecule: long non-coding RNA, 465 nt
Organism: Paramisgurnus dabryanus
Lineage: Eukaryota; Metazoa; Chordata; Actinopteri; Cypriniformes; Cobitidae
Source: RefSeq, a predicted model, not a curated record